UAUUCAAAAACACGACUAUAAAAAAGCCGCAGCAUUUACAAUCAAAGUUAAAGAUGAUUUAUAAAGGUAUAUAUUUAAAUAUGUCUCAUCAUGAUGUCGAGGCUAGCUCAAUCCAAGAUGGCGGCGCCCAUGGCAGAGUCUUUACAUUGUCUUAAUGGCUAAAGAACUCGUGAAAUUUGACAUCCCGCUGAAUAGGAGGAAAAGAGCUAGUAUUUUUUCGAAAUGCAUCAUCUGCCAAGUCGAUCGUAGAGAUGAGAAGCUAAGAAACGUAAAGAAGGCAUCCGUUGAAACAUUUAAAAA
This is a long non-coding RNA of Nematostella vectensis (starlet sea anemone), 300 nucleotides long. RefSeq lists it as uncharacterized. The transcript is spliced from 2 exons. Lineage: Eukaryota; Metazoa; Cnidaria; Anthozoa; Actiniaria; Edwardsiidae. The record is from RefSeq and is a predicted model, not a curated record.